UGACAUUACAUCCUGCUUGAAGCGUUUUUAACACUAUUUGCUCAGAAACAUCUUCUCAAAAUUAUUUUUUCAGAAACUACUGUAGCAAAAGAACGUCCACGUGGGAGCUUCUUUCAGUACUUUUGCUGACAAUGCAUUCUGCUUAAAGCGUUUUUGACAUUAUUUGCUCAGAAACGUCUUCUCAAAAUUAUUUUUUCAUGAACUACUGUAGCAAAAGAGCGUUCACGUGGGAGCUUUU
RNAcentral lists this long non-coding RNA (238 nucleotides) under Gossypium barbadense (sea-island cotton). RNAcentral describes it as "long non-coding RNA (GBAR_LNC013298)". Lineage: Eukaryota; Viridiplantae; Streptophyta; Magnoliopsida; Malvales; Malvaceae. The record is from RNAcentral.